Molecule: small RNA, 138 nt
Filed under: Streptomyces sp.
Lineage: Bacteria; Bacillati; Actinomycetota; Actinomycetes; Kitasatosporales; Streptomycetaceae
Also listed under: 1 other name
Description: c-di-AMP sequence
Rfam family: c-di-AMP riboswitch aptamer (ydaO/yuaA leader)
About the family: This family represents a conserved RNA structure found upstream of the ydaO and yuaA genes in Bacillus subtilis and related genes in other bacteria. The ydaO/yuaA element is thought to act as a genetic "off" switch for the ydaO and yuaA genes in its native state.
Source: RNAcentral
CCCAGGUAAGUGCCGGACCAGGCCGUCGAAGGACGGACGGGGCCGGCUCGGGGUGAAGUCGCUCGCGGAUGCGGGUGGCCGGGCAACUCACAGGCCCGAACCCGACAGCUCACCUCGUAGGCGUCGGUGAGGAGAACC